This 22-nucleotide unclassified non-coding RNA is filed under the name Mus musculus (house mouse). Its description in RNAcentral is "oocyte_clustered_small_RNA9195". The record is from RNAcentral. Lineage: Eukaryota; Metazoa; Chordata; Mammalia; Rodentia; Muridae.
UCAAACGCAGAAUAAGGCCAGC